Non-coding RNA from Zonotrichia albicollis (white-throated sparrow), 5172 nucleotides. NCBI's taxonomy places the organism in Eukaryota, Metazoa, Chordata, Aves, Passeriformes, Passerellidae. The record is from RefSeq and is a predicted model, not a curated record.
AGAAUGGCAGGCUUCAAGCACAAUGGCAACUAAGCAGAAGCAUUACUUAGACUAUCAACUGAUAUGUCAUCUGAAGACAGUUUUAUGUGGUAUAGAUAGAUUCAGUAAUUAUGUCACUGAGAGUCACUAAAUAUCGAUUCUCAUGUUAAACAGGAUCUGCUUCCCCUUUCAUUUUGGAGAGACUAAAACCUGUGAGAUUCUGCUCCACAUCCACUUUUCCAAGCUGAGAGAGAACUCUGUGCAUGGGUGUCUGUCCAGCUGUGGAAUUCUAGUUGUGGAUAGAAUUCCUGAUCCCUCUGUUCCAGCACACCUGUGUUCCAGCUGGGCUCUGGCUUCAUCCUUCCUCUGCCUGACCCACAGCUGGGCUGGCAGCAGUGCCAAAUACACAUUUAAGGGAGCCUCUAAUGAAUCCCCACUGAAAUUCCAUCAGCUGUGCAAAGUACAUUGAUUAAAUGCUACUUGCCACACAGGUAAAUGUUUUCUGGGGUGUGCAUUUGUUGGUAAGAAAAAUUGACUAGCAGGGUACCUGAAAUUCAUUCACAGCAUCUAUUCAUAGCACAUAGACACAUUCUGCAAUUAUAGUCACUAUUAAGGAAAAUCAACAAAAGGCUACAGCAUUAUCUGAGCUUCUCCAGCAAUUUCCUCUCACAAAUUAGGCAUGCCUUACUUUUUCUUUUGUUGUCCAAGGAAGUAUUAUUUGUAUAAUGUUCCACUGUGCUUUAAAUAGUUUUCCAGAGCAUUUCUCAGAUGAAUUAAAAAUAAAGUUACCUGCAAUUGAACUACUGUUAUUCCUUUGUUGCCUCAGAUUCUCAGUUUCAGAUGUGCCAGGGUUAAAAAAAGUCCUCUCUAACUCUCACAAAGCCCUCCAGGGAGUCCCUGUCACAUUUAAUCUUUCCCUGUCUCCCUGUUUCUCAGGGUGGCUUCUGAAUAACAGCAGUUUUGUCUAUUUUGUUUGCUCUUUCUCUUACACACACCCAGUUGAAGAAAAGUAAUUGAAACUAUGGCAUCUCACCUUGCAGUAUCUUGUGUAGUUUGAACCGAGAUGUGUCUAGAGAUCAAAUUUCUGCUUAUCAAGUGCAUAAAUGGGAUCCAAAGCCUGGAGACAUCACUGAACUCUGCAGGAGUUCACUUGCUGAGCAGGUGUUCAUGGCCCACCACAGGAAGAGAGAUUUGGGGUAGAAAUAGCUUUUCACCUCUACAAACUGAGGAGCUUUUUGCUGCAAUUUGCACCUCUGGACCUCCCAGUGACACCCAGGUUGCUCUGAAUGAGUCUGGCAGCGCGGGCUGAGCACAGCAGUGAGCCAUCAAACAGCUCCGUGUCUCCCGCCUGGCUUUUGCUGUGAAACGCAAACUGGUGAUGCUGCAGGAGCUCUGUGUUUGCUACACUUGAGCCACAGUGGCUGCAUCUCUUUCCAUGCCAUGGUGCACACACUUCUGACUCACCAUCAGAAAAUUCUUCCCAUUUCCUACACAACUGACCAUUUCCUUUCAGUUAUGCAAUUUAUUUUUUUUUUUUAAGUAGAAGCUUGAUUUUCUUUUUAUGUUAGUUUAUACAAAUAAAACAAUGGCCAGUGUUAAGCAACCUCCUUUAGAAAUGAAGCAGAAAUGGGCUGGUCAGGCCUCAUCAGACAAACAGUCUUCUUUUGAGAUAAACCACCCUAUUUCCCAGAAAUUGAAGUCUCAUGGAAAUCAUCCCUGCAUCUGGAAACAGCCAGGAUUCACUAAGCAUCUGGUCUGCCUUCCACAAAGGGGGAAUCUUUGCAUCAACAAUUGUCUAAUUUGAGGGUUUUUUUAUAAAACUGCUAUGUUGGAUGGAACAAUUUUGGACCUUGAGCAUUGUCAAAGAAUUCUGUUCCCUAAAUAUCUCCAGUGCAGAGCUGCUCUUGUUUGUAAUAGUGUGUGCUUACAUCCUCUCCUUGCUUUUCUAUUGACAGAGACAUUUAAAACCUUAAAGCUGAUUUUUUUUUUUAAAUUAAAUACUUACAUGUUAGGCUUCUGAAAGUCUCUUCUAGGGAUUUAUGCUUUAAGUUCAUUCUCAAAACCUCAUUCUUAUUAAACUAUAGUGAUAUUGGGAUAUUAAAACAUUAAUUCUGUGAGGAUUUUUACUACUCCCAUUUUCUUUCAGAACAUCACAAAUUAUCAUUUUGUUAUUAUGCUCUUGUGGAAACCUAUUCUUGGUGUGAAUGAUAAGACAGGUGUUUGUCAUUUUGAAGACUGGUAAAGGUAUUUUAAGGCAGUACUUAGCAGCAUAAAUUUAGUGUUCUCUAAUAAUCUACCUGAAAUGUUCAAGAAUAUUUUCUAUGCAAUUAUGAAAAUAGACUAGAAAAAUUAUACACAUUCUCAGGACUGGAUUACAUUUUUAUAUUUUAUCACAGAGUAGUUAAUUUCUGGCUCCUUCUUGCAGGACCUAACCCCAUUUGCUGGCUCUUUCCAGAGGCAGGACUUUGGUACAAAUGACACAGACAGGGCCCUCUCUCCCAUCAGCAAUGGAUUUGUGGCACUGAGAUGUCCAAGGGCAGCUGCUGGAUCUCACCCUGAGGAUUCCUGCUGAGCUUCUCUUGUGGAAGAGCUGGCAUAGACAGGAAGAAAAGCUGCUUUUAAGCUCUGCUCAGCAAAUCUUGCAGCUGCAUGAAAGGCCUGAGUCUGGUUACUGAGCAUUAUCGUCAACAUGGGUGUUUACAGCUCUCAGCAUCCCUCCUGAAAGAAUCUCACUAUGUUCCUCAGAAAAACAGAUUUGGAAGGUAUGAACAUCUGGAUGGAAAAACUGGAAGCUUGGCAUGAACUGGUAAGAGUGUGGAGCGUGGGCUGCAGCGCGCAGAGAUCUCACCUGCACCUCACUGGAGACACAGGCAGUGCCCGGAGUUUCAGAGAGAAAGGAGUUUGACUUUUGGUAUGGAUUUUCUAGAAAUACAAAUACACCACAGCAGGUGUACAAGUGUACAAGUGACUGUUGCCAAGUGACUGCACACAGAGCAGGAUGCAGACAAUCUGAAGAGAUGUCCAAGUUCUGUCCCAGAGGCACAACAGAUUUUGGGGUGCUGGCUACCAAUUGAGGAAUGCUACAGCUCAUGUUUAAGCUGAGCAGGCAGGAUACUUAUGGCAGUAUAAAUCUGAAAAUCCCAAUCCAGCUGUCUCUACUCUGUCCUGUGAAAUCCAUGCUGUGUGGGUGUCCUGCCUGCUCAGAUUCCAGGUGCAAACACCUGUACUGUGGAACAAAUGAUAUUCCAAAGCUCUCAUCAGGGCUCAGUGCAGGAAUGAGCUGCUAUCAGUGAGAGCCAGAACUCCAGAAUACACAGUAUCCCAUUCCUACACUCCAGACCAGGCUCACAGGAGAAGUCUGGGUGCCUUGAGAUCCUCUCUCCAGGAUUCUGGACCCUCUCCAUGAAACUGAGCACCUGAAAGCCCUGACUGAUCUGAAAGGAGAUCCUUCCCACCCAGAGCCCUUGCUUAAUGAAAUCAGCAUUCCAGUCAGCUCCAUCACUAGAAAAAGCAGCUGCAGUAUGCAGGGAACAUAUUCUGUUUUCCCAGCUCCAUGUGCUAGCAUUUUGCAAAUGAAAUUUUCUCUGACUUUUAGGCUUUAUGAAAUCUUGAAAUUAAAAUGAAAUAUAAUUGUCAGGAAAUGGAAAGUACUACUUUUUGGCCAGCUCUAUUUGUCCAUAUAAAACAUCCUAGAUGUCCCAAAGUGUCUUUCAUGCCAUCUUGAAUUAUAUCCUUUUUUUUUUUUUUUAUUGAGAUCUCCAAAGCCAGCUGCUUAGGGGUUUUCAAUGCCCAAAAUCCCACUCAUUAUUUCACUUGACACUCAGAUCCCUUGAGCAGCACUGAAAAAUUACUAAACCUUAAUAUCUGAGCGAGACUUCCAAACAACAGCUACAAUGAAGAAACUGGUCUUGGCACUAAAAACCAAUGAAUAUGUAAGACAAAUUGUAUCUGGAGAGAGCAAACACAUUAAAACAGCCUACCAGUAGCAUCUUUCAAAAGAUAUCUAAUGUAAGAUGCAUACUCUUCAAUAGCUCAAGGGGCUUAUAGUCAAUAAAUUUAACAGGUUGCAAAAAAAAAGUCAAAGCUAAAGUACAGUAUGUAAAUGGAAGCUGGAGUGCACUCUUCUUUUCAACCUUAGGACAGAGUUAAUAGAGGGGAAAUGACAAAAUACAUAAAAAGGAAUACACUGGAUUUGACAGAGUAUGUUUUUUUCUUUUAACUUCAAGGCAAACUACCAGACUAUUUUGGUUUACAGAUAAAUCAAACAAAGAACUUUUAUCAGUUUGCAUAAAAGUCUCAUUUUCAGCAAUGGAAAGAUUAGGCUUCAGAGCCUUAUUCUGUAUGUGUAUGAGGGGGAUUACAAGGGAAGUGGUGAAAGUAAUGACCUUGCCAGGGAUUAGCUUCCACAAUUGUAUGGUAAAAUAGUUGUGUUUUCUAUGCUUAUGGAUUAAGAUAUUCAUUGACAGUUUCUGCAAACUAGUGAAAUUCACAGACAUUUUCAGUGAUAGGGUGGUGACAGUAGCAGUAUCUGACAGCCUGACAUUACCCAUGGUGUUGUGAUGCUCAGGCCAGGGAGCUGGACCCUCAGCCUUGCCAGAUUUGUUUGCACUGGCUCAGUGUUUGUGUGACAAAAAGGGUUUCCUUUUGGAAUUCCCUUUAUUUUACAGUUGUAUGGUCAUGCUAAAUGCAAAUGUACUGGACCCAUUUGGUCCUUUUUGCUUUUCAAGAGCUACACCUGACUACUCCCAGCUGACCUAAGAGCACUUAGGGGUGGCCUUUUACUGAGUUACCCCACACACUGACAGCUACACUUGGUUAAGCUGUCAUAAAACUGAAGUAGCUGGACCAUUCCCACUGAGAUCCUCUUUCUUCAAUGUUUCUUAUUUUUUCUAAAAAAAAAAUAUUUUCUGUUUCUAAAAAACUCUUAGGAAGAAGAUAGGAACUACACAUAAGACAAGCCCAGUCUCUGCUCUGACUAAAUGGUGACUCUUUGGAUUGAAAGCUGCUGCUCUGAGGAAGGCAGAGCAGAAAAUGCUGGGGAGGCUCCUGAAGCCCAAGCCAAUAUAUCAAUACAGAAAACAACAGGCAGAAAGCCCCUCUGAGUGGCUCAAUGUUUCUGAAGACUCUCCAGCUAGCUUAAUCUUCCCAAGGAAGUUGAAAAUAAAUUCACCAGAAAUGGCUAGCUGCUUGUCU